Antechinus flavipes (yellow-footed antechinus) is the source of this 1097-nucleotide non-coding RNA. The record is from the annotation of a RefSeq genome assembly. Lineage: Eukaryota; Metazoa; Chordata; Mammalia; Dasyuromorphia; Dasyuridae.
CAAAGGUAAUUUUUUGGACACCAGUAGGGCUAGAAGUUAGCCCUGCAGGCAGAGUUAUUCUGGGUUAACUCCCUUCUCUUGCCCGAGUUUGCAUCUGUUUCCUUCAUGCCCCACCCCCUCCUAGGUCAGGGUGGGGGAUGGGCAGACCACACUGCCUUCAGCUGCCUACUUAAAAACACUUCCCUCUGAGCAGAACUCCUUUCGACACAGAUAUUAUCAGCUCCGGACCCCAUCCUUCCUAGAGAAUCCUGCCAGACUCAGCAGCAUGUUUGCCAGGACCCUCCCCAUCCUUGCCAGGCUCUACCUCCUGGGUGUGCUCCUCUUCAUUCUCCCAGGUUCCGAAGCCCAGGUGCGGCUAGUGGAGACAGGAGGAAAAGUCACACAUGAAGGCCAGUCUGUGACCCUGACCUGCAAGGCCUUUGGCUUUAACAUCAAGGAUUAUAUCAUGGCUUGGUACCGGGGCUUAACUGAGAGCCACAGGGAGCUGGUGGCCAGCAUCAGCCCCAAAACUGGCAGUGACAAAAUAUACAGCCCCAGAAUUCAAGGCAGGGCUUCCAUCGAGAGGGACAAUAUGGACAGAACUGUCUCUCUGACCUUGAGCCGGCUUAAAAAGGAGGACUCAGGCACAUACUACUGUGCCAGACUCACUUUGCUAGAGCCCAGGUAGAGACCUUGACACAAACCUGGGAUUAGAGCCCCAGAUUCUGUGCUGUGUGGUGCUCUGUGAGUAUGUCUGGGGAAGAGAAGAAAUAGACUCUCCAUGCGUGCAUUUUUGAGUGUUCAGAGAAGGGAAGAGAAAGGCUCUAUGUGUGUGUGUCUGUGUGUUUACAUAUGUACAUGUAUACAGAGAAAGGAAGAAACAAAUUAUGUGUGUGUGUGCUAAAGUAAGUGGUAGGACUUUUCUCCCAGCCUGCAGCAUUCCUUUGCAAUCUUGAGACUUUAACCACUGCUUCAGGCUCAGUUGAUGGCCUCCACCAUGCUUCCUCAUGUGCCCCCAUGGGGCUAGGACUCCAGACCUAAUUCCUGGGAAGACAAUCAAUGACUAAGAACAGGUAGAAUUCAGGCUGAAAUUCUGCUGUGAGAGCACAUUGUUGAUA